UCCCUGGUGGCUCAGAUGGUAAAGCGUCUGCCUGCAAUGCAGGAGACCCAGGUUUCAUCCCUGGGUCGGGAA
RNAcentral lists this transfer RNA (72 nucleotides) under Ovis aries (sheep). It matches the Rfam family "tRNA". Rfam says of the family: Transfer RNA (tRNA) molecules are approximately 80 nucleotides in length. Their secondary structure includes four short double-helical elements and three loops (D, anti-codon, and T loops). The record is from Rfam by way of RNAcentral. Lineage: Eukaryota; Metazoa; Chordata; Mammalia; Artiodactyla; Bovidae.